RNAcentral lists this ribosomal RNA (496 nucleotides) under uncultured bacterium. Its description in RNAcentral is "partial 16S ribosomal RNA". It matches the Rfam family "Bacterial small subunit ribosomal RNA", at positions 28 to 506 of the family's 1533-position model. The record is from RNAcentral.
GACGAACGCUGGCGGCGUGCCUAAUACAUGCAAGUUGAGCGCUGAAGGUUGGUACUUGUACCGACUGGAUGAGCAGCGAACGGGUGAGUAACGCGUGGGGAAUCUGCCUUUGAGCGGGGGACAACAUUUGGAAACGAAUGCUAAUACCGCAUAAAAACUUUAAACACAAGUUUUAAGUUUGAAAGAUGCAAUUGCAUCACUCAAAGAUGAUCCCGCGUUGUAUUAGCUAGUUGGUGAGGUAAAGGCUCACCAAGGCGAUGAUACAUAGCCGACCUGAGAGGGUGAUCGGCCACAUUGGGACUGAGACACGGCCCAAACUCCUACGGGAGGCAGCAGUAGGGAAUCUUCGGCAAUGGACGAAAGUCUGACCGAGCAACGCCGCGUGAGUGAAGAAGGUUUUCGGAUCGUAAAACUCUGCUGGUGGAGAAGAACGUUGGUGAGAGUGGAAAGCUCAUCAAGUGACGGUAACUACCCAGAAAGGGACGGCUAACUACGU